This is a long non-coding RNA of Cyprinus carpio carpio, 843 nucleotides long. The record is from Ensembl. Lineage: Eukaryota; Metazoa; Chordata; Actinopteri; Cypriniformes; Cyprinidae.
CUCAAGCCUGGGCAGGAAGGCCCAAUGUGGUUUGUAGUUGAAAACCACACGCACACACCCUCCUCCCCCCACAUACUCAGAGAAACCUGUUGAGCGUGCACGAACAGAUCAUUCUUUCAGGGCAAGCCAGUGGCACUCUGUGUGUGUGUACCCUCACCUCUGUGCUGUUUACCACUUACCAACCCUGUAUAUGUGUGUUUCGCUGACUCCCGGUCUGGCCUUGCCACGUCAAAUGACCGUCUCCAGCCUGCCGUCCAGAGAGAAAUAGCAACUUUGCCCUGCAUGUGUGUGUGUGUGUGUGUGUGUGUAUGUCUGUGUUUGGUUGGACUCCUGACCAGCCUGGUCUUUGGAAAUGAAGAUUUCUUCACUAAAACACUGGAUUGAGAUCAGAGCCACAGAAGAGAGUCUGGCUUUUUCCCUCUUUAGGAGCUGAGUUUGUUCCUGUCUGUUCUUUUUCAACUUUCAACUCGUGUGGUUUGGAUGUCGCAAAGAUGAGUGGAUUUCUGUAUCGUGGCAGACACUAUAAUGGACAUAAAGCGGCCCGGCCCAAGAGCAUGAUCGAUAUGUGCGAGUCCUCCAGUGAUGACGCUGAGAAGAGCUCUGUUUUGCAGACGCAUAGCCUGAGAGAGUUUGAGCAGGCUUGGCAGAAGUGUGGAGAUUUUGACAGGCUCAGUCAAGACCUGAUCAUUGUGGCCUGGCCCUCCGUGUACCUUUCAGCAAGUUGUUGCAAAAUUCUGAAGGAAACGGACAAACAAGAGCUGGUUUUGUCUUUCUAGAUUCUGUGCUUUUUGCAGCACUUCUUCACUUAGGUUCUCUUUAGAUAGAAAAUAGGUCAAAAUUUUC